CCUACGGGAGGCAGCAGUGGGGAAUAUUGGGCAAUGGGCGCAAGCCUGACCCAGCAACGCCGCGUGAAGGAAGAAGGCUUUCGGGUUGUAAACUUCUUUUCUCAGGGACGCAGAAAGUUACGGUACCUGAGGAAUAAGCCACGGCUAACUACGUGCCAGCAGCCGCGGUAAUACGGAGGUGGCAAGCGUUAUCCGGAUUUACUGGGUGUAAAGGGCGUGUUGGCGGGACUGCAAGUCAGAUGUGAAAAUCACGGGCUCAACCUGUGGCUUGCAUUUGAAACUGUAGUUCUUGAGUACUGGAGAGGCAGACGGAAUGCCUGGUGUAGCGGUGAAAUGCGUAGAUAUUAGGAGGAACACCAGUGGCGAAGGCGGUCUGCUGGACAGCAACUGACGCUGAGGCGCGAAAGCGUGGGGAGCAAACAGGAUUAGAUACCCUAGUAGUC
Molecule: ribosomal RNA, 443 nt
Filed under: uncultured bacterium
Lineage: Bacteria
Description: partial 16S ribosomal RNA
Rfam family: Bacterial small subunit ribosomal RNA
Source: RNAcentral